AGCAGUAGCCGCGGUAAUACGAGGGGGGCAAGCGUUGUUCGGAAUUAUUGAGCGUAAAGCGUGCGCAGGCGGUUCGUUAAGACAGAUGUGAAAUCCCCGGGCUUAACCUGGGAACUGCAUUUGUGACUGGCGAGCUAGAGUAUGGCAGAGGGGGGUAGAAUUCCCAGUGUAGAGGUGAAAUUCGUAGAUAUUGGGAAGAGCACCGGUGGCGAAGGCGGCGACCUGGUCCUUGACUGACGCUGAGGCGCGAAAGCGUGGGGAGCAAACAGGAUUAGAUACCCGCGUAGUCCCUGUCUCUUAUAC
This 303-nucleotide ribosomal RNA is filed under the name uncultured bacterium. RNAcentral describes it as "partial 16S ribosomal RNA". It matches the Rfam family "Bacterial small subunit ribosomal RNA", at positions 507 to 807 of the family's 1533-position model. The record is from RNAcentral.